RNAcentral lists this long non-coding RNA (2415 nucleotides) under Androctonus crassicauda. The record is from RNAcentral. Lineage: Eukaryota; Metazoa; Arthropoda; Arachnida; Scorpiones; Buthidae.
AUUAUUUGAAAAAAAUUAAAUUUGUGCUGUUUGAAAAUAUUCCGUUGCAUAUAUUCAUUCUAUAUAGUUGUCCUAUUUAAAUAUAAUAUUAAUUAUAGCUUGCACGCUUGAAGAUUAUUGUAAAGUUUUGUGUUUAUUUAAAAUCAUAAAUUUGUCCAUUUGCUUUUUUUAUUCUUUGGAUAUUAUAUAUAUUAUUUGAGUAUUUGCUAUUGCUGUGAGAAGCGUCGUCCAAAUAUGCUUUCUGCUCUGUCUGUCUCCUGCUGCUGCUCCCAAUUGUUUACCUUUAAGUAGUUCAUGAAUGGCCAGGUAUUUGGUGAGUUUAUUGAUUUUUUUUUUUUUUCAUUUAAAUUUGUAUUGAGAAUCAUUUUUAAAUUUGCCAUAAAUUUUUUAACAAUUUUUUAAAAUUUUGUUUUGAAAAAUGAAACACCCGCAAUUUUUCAAACUUUGUUUUGUCGAAAAGGAAUUUGUUUUUUUCAUUUUUGCAACAAAUCCUGGCUUUUCAUUUUAUAGUAUACCUUUCAUUCCUUUAUUAAUCCCUUUCCACCGUCCAUUUAUUCCAUCCUAUAGGCCCAACAGAGGGAGGAAGCAUACGAGACGCAGAUCCGCUCCAUGACUUCCAGAUUGAAAGAGGUAAGUGUAAUCCACUUCCAUAACUGAUAAUGAACCGUCAAACUUUUUGUACACAGGCCUUACAGAAAGAAGAUGCAUACGAGACACAAAUAAGACAAAUGACUUCCAGAUUACAAGAGGUAGGGCGAGGAAUUUUGUAAGAACAAUUUUAAUCAGAUUCAGGAAAAACUAUCAAUUAGUAAAAAUAUUCUUUCUGCAAUCACAUUAAGUAGAAGGCAUGAAAACUGUCCUUGGAUCCUAACUAAUAUGACAUGAAAACAUUCUCAAAAUUUUUCACCUUUAGUCCACUUAAUUAUAGAACUAAGAGUAUAUCUUUGAGUCGUUAUUCGUUUGAGAUAAAUUUAAAAUUGUUUUCAUCUUUAGAAAAGUCAUAUAUAUUUAUUGAUAUGCGCUUUCAAAUCAAAUAUUUGACGGAGAAAUCUUUCCAAUAAAUCCAAGUUAACUUUUUGACAUAUACUAUAUAUUGCUAAAAUUUUUGAAUAUUUGAUAGUAAAUCUCUGUAUUUGCGAAUUUAACAUAUCGAAUUCACUUAUUCGUGAUAAAAUAUUAGCUACUAUUCUUCAAUAUUCGUAAGUCGAAAUUUGCUCUUUCACAAUUACAUCUGACUUAUCCUAAUCACUUUCAACAGACUUGUCACGAUUGUUGUGGAAGAUGCACAAAAUGAAAUUUUACUAUGACAUAGUAUCUCUUGCAUGCAGCUUUCCCGACUCUCAUUUAUGCACUUGGAUGCAUUUCUUGAUUCUCUCCUUUUAUGAUAUUGAGAAGCUGGUUGCUAGUCAUUACCAAUUAUUUAUAUUCAUUAAACUUUAUGCUGUUUUACAGCUAAAGUGUAAUUCUGUCAUUGUGAUUGGUUCAAAAUGCAAAGGAAAUGAUUAUUCUAUAGCUAGGAAUGGACAAAAUUUUGGACGGUAUUUUCCCUGGUUGCUCGUAUUAUUUUAAUUGCAAUAUAGAUAUUUGACUUCAUGCUAAUUUAUGGUUUUCUAAUGCUAAUUUAUUCAUUUUCAUUGUUUUACUGUAAUAGAUAUUUUCUGAAAAUAUCAAGUUCGUUCUUCUUCAGUAUAUCAAAAUAAAAAAUAAAUUUUUGGCAAUAAUUUGGCCCUUUGGGGUUUUGAUAUUUUAUUUUUUAUUUAUUGUUAAAAUAUGUUAAUUUAGAUGGAUGAUAUAAGAAGUGCUGGGAGACGGCAUGGGAGGAUGCCUCUUUUUUUUUGUGGAUGACAAGUCGUGGUUGUGUUUGUGGUAUUUGUUUGCAAUUGUGGUGUUUGUUUGUGGUAGUGGACAUGUUUUUUUUUUAGGAGGACUGUGGAGGUUACGUUGGAAGCGUUUUGUUGUGAUUUUAAUUGUAGAGGCCAUACAGUUGGUGUCUUCCCUGGAAUUAACUGGAAACUAAUUAUAAUUGUUCUAGUUACUGAUUCAUUUGUAAGUAAAAUUUUGUUAAUAAUAAAUGGUUGGAGAGAAAAAUGGAGUUUUUUAUUGAAGCGGCAAAGUCUUUUCAGUGAUGGUUGGAGGUCAGAGAAGUUCAUCUUCAUAUAAAGGUUUAUACAGCAAGAAAGAAUGAGCAUGAGGGGGCGCAGGGUUAGAACUUUAGUCGAGGCUCGGGCGAGGGCCCAGACCUCACAUACUUAAUGAAGUUUCAUGUUAUUGCCAACUUAUGUAUCAUUGCUGCAGUGGUAACUAUUGCUACAAACAUACUGGAAUGCUACUAUACGAAGGAAUAGCGGCACAAGUGAGCGGACCAUUCUUUAGCUUGUACACGGGGCAGGUUUAUUGGCUAAAGUAGGAGUAGCC